AACGAACGCUGGCGGCAUGCCUAACACAUGCAAGUCGAACGAGACCUUCGGGUCUAGUGGCGCACGGGUGCGUAACGCGUGGGAACCUGCCUUUAGGUUCGGAAUAACUCAGAGAAAUUUGAGCUAAUACCGGAUGAUGUCUUCGGACCAAAGAUUUAUCGCCUUUAGAUGGGCCCGCGUUGGAUUAGCUAGUUGGUGGGGUAAAGGCCUACCAAGGCGACGAUCCAUAGCUGGUCUGAGAGGAUGAUCAGCCACACUGGGACUGAGACACGGCCCAGACUCCUACGGGAGGCAGCAGUGGGGAAUAUUGGACAAUGGGCGAAAGCCUGAUCCAGCAAUGACGCGUGAGUGAUGAAGGCCUUAGGGUUGUAAAGCUCUUUUAACCGAGAUGAUAAUGACAGUAUCGGGAGAAUAAGCUCCGGCUAACUCCGUG
RNAcentral lists this ribosomal RNA (433 nucleotides) under uncultured bacterium. RNAcentral describes it as "partial 16S ribosomal RNA". It matches the Rfam family "Bacterial small subunit ribosomal RNA", at positions 29 to 507 of the family's 1533-position model. The record is from RNAcentral.